AUGACAAGUUAUUAUGGAACAGGUGCUUAUAUACUAGGGUCAAGGUCACUGGCCAGCUAUAGGUGGUUAUAUAGUUUGUUUCUUUAAACAGAGAUAUUAUAUGUAAGCUUCACCCCUCAUAGAGAAGUAAAGCUAAUUCAUUACUUUCGAGCCUCAGGCUCAUAUUCUAAGAAUGACCUUCAUCCUGCACAUCCAAGAUAUGCUUGGAUGAAGGAACAUUUUUCUGUGAAUGCUGAUAAAAAUCCCGUAAUUUGACUAAUAGGUAAAACAUCUGCUGCAGUGAAUUUGAAGAUAAAAAGUAAAAUAUACCAUGACCUAUCAACAGAAAAUACAAAAUAUGAUGAAAAAACUUAAGAAAUUAUACACAUACACAUCUGUCAUUGAGCAGAACUCGAACAGCAUCUAUAUUUUUUUCAUUCAUAGGAUUUUCUUUCAGAGACAUAUAACAUACAUUUAUUUUCUUAAGACUGUAAGUUAAGGGUCCCAAGAAUGUAAUAAAUAAUUCAUAUAACAACAAUGAGGUAGAAUAUACAAAUAUGAAAUGCAGAUGUUAUUGAAGAGACAUAUUAUUUCAGCCAGGGAUCCUGAAGAAAACACAGCUUUACACUGAAGGGUCAGGGGGAUGACCAAUUUUGAAGACUUGUUAGAAUUGAAUUUACUAGUCAUGUGAAAAAUAUGUAAAAUAAAAGUUAUCAGUGUAAAAAAGUAAAGACUGUUUACUAUAUUAGAUUAUUUCCAUUUCCAUGACAUUUUGACAAUUUAAAUCAAUUCAUGGCAGACUAAAAAUAAAAUUGGAAAUUUUAUUUGUUGGCAGUUGAAUUUUCUUACAGGGCAUUUCUCUAACAUCAAAUAAUUGUAAAAUAUAUUCAGUUGGUUUUAUUUUAUAACGGUGAGCUAGGUACCCAGACUAUAUUUUUAUAAUUGUUUCCCUUUAAAUAAGGAAAUUAUCUCCCUUAAAAAAAGAAUUUGUAAGUUUUCUGGGUUAUUUAGUUAAUAUAUGAGGUAAAGGAUAUUAUAGCAUCUUGUAAAAAGAUAAGCUGAAAUUUAAAAUUUCAUGUCACAUUCAAUUGGAAUAUAUAUAAUAUUAAGAAAAAAAUAUUUAUUUUCAUUUUGCAAGACAAUAAAAGAUGCUUAAAACCUGUCCAGAUUAUAAAUGAGGUAUAAAGGGAAAGUAGCACUAAAUGAGGGAAAUAUUCUAUGAGACUGUACUGUACAUAAACUUGAGCAAAAUAAUGCUUCACCAAUAAAAAAUACUGGAGCUCUGGAAAUAUCAAUUUCAGGUAAGUUUUUAGGUCAAAAGUGACAUUCUGUACUUAAAUAUCUAUAUUUAGAUGAAAUAACAUUUCAACUAUUCUUAAAUUUAUCUUAAUAAACAAAUGUAAAUAAAAGUGAAUGUAAAUAAUAAAAAUGUGACUUAUACCGGUAAUGUUGUUUGCGUUUGAGAUAAAAGAUCAUCUUUGCGUAUAGAGUUAUUUAUAUCUUUUAGAGGUAGAAAAGGUCAAACUUUCUUUCAAUAUAAAUAAAUUCUGAUUAAAUACGGACCCGUUUCAACACAAUUGCAUGAUGGGUAUUGUACAAGAGGUAUACUUUGAUAGUUCUAAAUUGACUAUCCAAAUUUUACAAUACCCACAAGGAAAAUUUUCAUAUCUAAUGAACAUACACAAUGUGGUAGCAGGCAUACAAACAUACCUCUAGCUUAAUAUCAUCAACAAAUCUUGGUCAAAACAACUUCAAAUAUCACAUAAAUAAUACCCUGUCAUUUAGAUUUUAAGGGGCAAUUUUGUCAUGAGUAAUAAUUGUGAAGUACAAAAUGUAAAACCUAAGAAUUCUAUCUUGAUUCCAAAAUAAGAAUAUUGUGAUAGUAGUUAAGUUUCCACUGUCAGGUAAAACUUUUUCAACUUGAAAGUGAAAGUAAAAUUUCAUAAAUCUUCUUAAUCAAAACAAACUACUACAUAGAAAGAGUUCUUUUUUGGAAAAAACAUCCCCCCUUCAAUAAAAAGCUAUUCAAACAAGUAUCAUUUAAUCCAAGAAAUACCAAGCAGCCUGAAUAGUAUUUUCUAUAUUAAAAAAACAUGUAAACUUAGUACCAAUAUUUUGGCCAAGAUUUGUUGAUUUUUUUCUAGUCCACGAGUCGCCACUAGUCAAAACACAUAUACAAUAUCAUAAGCAGUAGGCAUAUAUCAUUAAAAAACCAUCAAUUUUAAUAUACAAAACAAAACAAAAAAUCAAAUAUAUAUAUAUAUUUAUAUAGAUAUAUAUCUAGAACAUAUUACUAUGAAAUGAGGUAAUUCUUCAAUGUUACAUGAGCUCUAUGUAUAAUUAUGAGGCAAAACUACAGAGCGAAAAAGUGCAACAAAUAAAUUGAAAACAUGACUAUUUAUAACAUCAUAUUUAUGAGGUAUUUCAUCAACAGAGGUAGUGCAUAACUGACUUGAGCAAUAAAUAUUUCUCUCCAUUUCUAUGUUUUAUUACUGGGGGGUGGGGGAGGGGGUGAUCUCGAAAUCCGGAGCUUAACAAACACGAAAUCCUGAGAUCCUGAAUUUGAAUAAAUUUAAAUCCCCACAUCCCAUAAUUCAAAAAAAGAAUUCCCGGAUCCCGAAAUUCCGAGCUUAAAAACACCCAAUCCCGGAGUCCUGAUAAAGGUCCUAUCCUCCCUCAUAACUGAAGCUCUCAAAAAUUGUAGACUUAAUAUGACACAAAAUACAAAAAACAGAGUGUAUAUACUCUUUAAAGGAAACUGAGUUUAUACCUGGUUUAAGAAGGGAUUUACAUUUAAUGUUUUAAAGAUUUUUUUUGGGGGGACAUUGUAUUUGGAUGAGGAGGGGAGGGCUAUGAUGUUGCCUUAUCUUUCUAUUUACAGUUUCUGAUGUUUGCCUCCUAUCUUUAACUGUCUGUUACAGAAAACUAUAAGACAGUUAGCAAUAAAUAAAUUAAAGAUAAGACCCUGUUAAGAACAUCAGACUAGAAAUGAAGUCACUUGAAAAUAAAUAUAUUCAUUUGUUAAUUUUUGCUCAAUAAAAAGUCACAUGGUAUUCUUAACGUGCAGUAUCUGACAUUCCACCAACACAGUGCUAAAACAAUGAAAUGAAGAGAAAUUUUAAACCAAGUCUCCACUCUUAGGCAUGGAUUUACUACUAAUAUAUAAUUAUAUGUAUAUAGAUAUAGAUACUUUACAAUAUUUACUACAUUUACCUGUUGAGGUCAUAUAUUAGAACAAUGGCAUAAAAAGAGCAAGCUGAGUCAAUUAUAUUACAAGAUUAAACUUUAUAUACAAAUGAAGCUGGCUCAGUGCUUAAAAAGCAUAACAUGGACCCAAACUCAUAAAUAUUGGGAGUCCAAUUUGAGGUAUACUGGUACAUAAAUAAUUACUGACUUUAAAAUGAGACAGGGGUUUCUUUGGUCAAGAAGUCUUUUUCUGAACUUGGUGUAAAGCCAGGUUUAAGCAAAAUUUCUUCCUGAAAGACCUAUGUCUAAAUGUCUAUUUAGAAUAAUAUAAAAAUAUUUAGUUUUUUUUAUUUGAAAAAAAUUGUUUCAAUAUAUGUAUAUAUAUGAAUUAUCAAACUUAUUUAUAAACUUAAUGAAAAUUUGCAAGGUUCCAAAAUUAUUACAUAUUUUAUUUUACUAAUUUCAGUUGUUUUAAUUAGACGCAUGUAUUAAAUUAUCUCCCCUUACAAGCAAUAUUGACAUUUCAAAGUUGUUUCCCCUUGAUCAUUGUUGCAGAGUUUGAAAAGUAUGUCUUGAUAAGAAUGUAAAUCUUUCUUAACCUGAGUUGUCUGACUGAAUAAAUCACUUCUAAGAUGUAGUUAUUGUAGCCUGAGGGUGGGUAAUUGGUCAAUGAAUAUAUCCCCUGAAAUUUCAAAAAUACUUUUUUAACUCCUUCUUAACCUGAGAGUUCUACCAUAUAUAGUGUAGUUUUAGAGGUAUCUUGUGGGCAAGAAUUUUACCCUGAUAAAAAAAAAUGUUGCUUCGCCAUCAUAUCUGUUGUGUAUAUAAUAUAAUGUAAAUAUAUAUAUAUAAUCAAUUCAACUAUUUACAAAUUACAACAAAUUGAAAAAAAAUCAACUUUUGCAUUUAUUAUUCUACAACUCGUACCCAGUAAAAAACAGUGAAAUUACUAUGCAGUAAGAAACAAAAAAAUGUGGAUUUCUUUUACAAAA
This 4157-nucleotide long non-coding RNA is filed under the name Mytilus galloprovincialis (Mediterranean mussel). The record is from RNAcentral. Lineage: Eukaryota; Metazoa; Mollusca; Bivalvia; Mytilida; Mytilidae.